CGUGUGGGCAACCUGCCCUGUACUGGGGAAUAAUCAUUGGAAACGAUGACUAAUACCGCAUGUGGUCCUCGGAAGGCAUCUUCUGAGGAAGAAAGGAUUUAUUCGGUACAGGAUGGGCCCGCAUCUGAUUAGCUAGUUGGUGAGAUAGCAGCCCACCAAGGCGACGAUCAGUAGCCGACCUGAGAGGGUGAUCGGCCACAUUGGGACUGAGACACGGCCCAA
This 222-nucleotide ribosomal RNA is filed under the name uncultured bacterium. RNAcentral's name for it is "partial 16S ribosomal RNA". It matches the Rfam family "Bacterial small subunit ribosomal RNA", at positions 114 to 334 of the family's 1533-position model. The record is from RNAcentral.